CACAUACAUGUGUGUACGUAUGCGAUCAGAAGAAGGAGCCAGGAGAGCUCAAACCCUAGUUCAACAAAUCCUCCAAAUCGAAGCUCAAAUCAAGCCCGAAUCGUCUGCAUGAUUACAAAUUCGUGAUCGCCUAGUCGUGGGGAUCAUAAGUUGACUCUAAACAAGCUAGGUGGGAGCUUGAAAAGGAACGGGUCAAACGGAUCAUGGAUGCGAAGAAUGUUUGCGCGGACGCGAGGGUAAAACGGCUUAUGGAAUUUACGUGGCUAUGAAUCAGCAAAUUAUUAAGGCAAGGUAUUAAAACGGGUCAAUACUUUGACAUGCGCCAGGUACAUUUUGGAUGCCGGAAGACGAUCAAGCUCGACGAAGGACCGAACACGAUAUAGAUACAUGCUUCCGCACUGUAACACAUUGCAAAUAUUAAACAACGAAUUCAACCACGUUAUGUAGAAUAACUUAUCAUACUCGAUAUAUAUGAUUUAUAGUGUA
Helianthus annuus (common sunflower) is the source of this 486-nucleotide long non-coding RNA. RefSeq lists it as uncharacterized. Lineage: Eukaryota; Viridiplantae; Streptophyta; Magnoliopsida; Asterales; Asteraceae. The record is from RefSeq and is a predicted model, not a curated record. The transcript is spliced from 4 exons.